This 860-nucleotide ribosomal RNA is filed under the name uncultured bacterium. RNAcentral's name for it is "bacterial SSU rRNA". It matches the Rfam family "Bacterial small subunit ribosomal RNA", at positions 28 to 895 of the family's 1533-position model. The record is from RNAcentral.
GACGAACGCUGGCGGCGUGCUUAAUGAAUGCGAGUCGAGCGAGAACCGGUCGUUUUCUUCGGAAAGUGACUGGGGAGAGCGGCGAACGGGUGAGUAACACGUGGGUAACGUGCCCUGCAGACGGGGAUAACAGUAGGAAACUGCUGCUAAUACCCGAAUUGUACCGGAUGGCAUCAUACGGCUAUGAAAGCUCCGGCGCUGCAGGAUCGGCCCGCGGCCGAUUAGCUUGUUGGUGGGGUAACGGCUCACCAAGGCAACAAUCGGUAGCUGGUCUGAGAGGACGGUCGGCCACGCUGGGACUGAGAUAUGGUCCAGACUCCUACGGGAGUUAGCAUCAGGGAAUCUUGCGCAAUGGGCGAAAGCCUGACGCAGCGACGCCGCGUGGGGGACGAAGGUCUGCGGAUCGUAAACCCCUGUCAGGAGGGACGAAGUUCUGACGGUACCUCCAAAGGAAGCCAUGGCUAAUUACGUGCCAGCAGCCGCGGUAACACGUAAAUGGCAAGCGUUGUCCGGAAUUACUGGGCGUAAAGAGCACGUAGGCGGUUUGGUCAGCGGCGGGUGAAAUCCCCGGGCUUAACCCGGGAACUGCUCGCCGAACUGCCAGACUCGAGUACGGGAGAGGGCAGUGGAAUUCCUGGUGUAGCGGUGGAAUGCGUAUAUAUCAGGAGGAACACCGGUGGCGAAGGCUGCUGCCUGGAACGUUACUGACGCUGAGGUGCGAAAGCUAGGGGAGCGAACGGGAUUAGAUACCCCGGUAGUCCUAGCCGUAAACGAUGGACACUAGGUGUUGGAGGCAUCAACCCCUUCAGUGCUGUUCGUAACGCGUUAAGUGUCCCGCCUGGGGAGACAGUCGCAAGGCU